Molecule: ribosomal RNA, 844 nt
Filed under: Pleosporales sp. Rco031EF4
Lineage: Eukaryota; Fungi; Ascomycota; Dothideomycetes; Pleosporales
Description: SSU rRNA
Rfam family: Eukaryotic small subunit ribosomal RNA
Source: RNAcentral
GCUUCUUGGUGAUUCAUGAUAACUUAACGGAUCGCAUGGCCUUGCGCCGGCGACGGUUCAUUCAAAUUUCUGCCCUAUCAACUUUCGAUGGUAAGGUAGUGGCUUACCAUGGUUUCAACGGGUAACGGGGAAUUAGGGUUCGAUUCCGGAGAGGGAGCCUGAGAAACGGCUACCACAUCCAAGGAAGGCAGCAGGCGCGCAAAUUACCCAAUCCCGAUUCGGGGAGGUAGUGACAAUAAAUACUGAUACAGGGCUCUUUUGGGUCUUGUAAUUGGAAUGAGUACAAUUUAAACCUCUUAACGAGGAACAAUUGGAGGGCAAGUCUGGUGCCAGCAGCCGCGGUAAUUCCAGCUCCAAUAGCGUAUAUUAAAGUUGUUGCAGUUAAAAAGCUCGUAGUUGAACCUUGGGCCUGGCUGGCGGGUCCGCCUCACCGCGUGUACUUGUCCGGCCGGGCCUUCCUUCUGGAGAACCUCAUGCCCUUCACUGGGCGUGUUGGGGACCAGGACUUUUACUUUGAAAAAAUUAGAGUGUUCAAAGCAGGCCUUUGCUCGAAUACGUUAGCAUGGAAUAAUAAAAUAGGACGUGCGGUCCUAUUUUGUUGGUUUCUAGGACCGCCGUAAUGAUUAAUAGGGACAGUCGGGGGCAUCAGUAUUCAAUUGUCAGAGGUGAAAUUCUUGGAUUUAUUGAAGACUAACUACUGCUAAAGCAUUUGCCAAAGAUGUUUUCAUUAAUCAAUGAACGAAAGUUAGGGGAUCGAGAAAGAUCUUAUACCGUCGUAGUCUUAACCGUAAACAAUGACUUUCUCCGACUAGGGAUCGGGCGAUAUUCUUUUUCUGACUCGCUC